ACAGACAGCAAUGCCCUCCUUCAGUCUUUUGGGAAGCUGCUGAGCUGAGUCAGGGGUUUCCUAUAGCCCUGUAUACGUGAUGCCAAUACGUCAACAAAGCUCUGUUGCUAGCUGAGAAUCCCUUAGGCGCUGCUGUGUUGCUGUUCUCUAAAGUGGUGGGAGAGAGAGGGAGCUAGACCUGUUCAGAUUUCUUGAGAAAAGUUCUGAAUUCAUUGUUAUGAGGGAGGUAUAAGAUAGAGGAGGAUGUGGGGUACUACCGAUACUCCAGAUCUGAGAGAGAAAACGUCUCUCUCCACCAUGAAUUUGUACACAGUGGUAUCUUCCUGCUGUGUUCCUGAAAUCAGCGUCUGGUGUUCAUGCUCUCAUUGCCAAGUGAUGGAUCCCGGGCAUUUUAGUUUCAGUUACCUGCAAUCAGCCAUGUUCUGGGAGCAGAUGAUCCUGCUUCUGACACAUUGUCAAAAGGUCAACAGUAGCCUGAUGCUCUGUCACAAUGUCUACAUCAUUCACCUCACUUCAUCUCAUCACGUAGGCGUGGUAUGUUCUCAAUCAUCACAAGAAGGAGGUCCAUCACUCCUUUUACAGUUCUCCAUCGCGAAGAGUGUAAACUGCCUCCUAAUUUUGGCAUCUGCUACCUGCCUUUCUGGCUGCUCCCUGUUGCUUCCUGAUGUCACUCUGUCAAGUAGACACUUGAGGAUUUCUUUGCUAUCCAGUCUAACAUUUGGAGGCUGUUUCAGAUGCUCUUGACUUCGGAACCAUCUCCCUCUCUGGCUCUGACACAUGGUUCUAUGCCCUCAUAGUGGCUGUGCUUGAAUAACUGGCUCUUACAAAGGCCAUUUCCCUGUUUGCUCUAUGUAAAUAGAAUCACACGUUAGGUACUGUUCUCUGGAAUUGUAGUAAGAUGGUUGAAGUUGUAAUUUUGUAUAUUCAUAUUAGCACAUUGGAAUAUGUUUCCUGUUUCCUUUGGUCUUCCUGGUUUUCUGCGUGCCUGGCCACUUGAGCGAAGAUGAAGGAGAAAUCACAUUUGAAGCAGGGGUUAAGGAGACUUGGCUGAACUUCCUAAAACUUUAUGAGCAAAGCUGUUGGCCAGAAAUUCCAUGUGUUGUUUUAACUCUGUUUUCUUACUGCAUCUCCCUCUGAAAAAGUGCAAAGAGUUACCCCAUUGGCCAGCUGCUAGUUGCUGCACUGAAGAGUCGGAUACGAUUAGCAUCAACCAAAGUUAGAAAUGGAUAGCUGAGGGUAAAUGUUUUCGAGUUGUUGAAAACAGAAGUAUGGACUUUAACAUCCAACCUCGGGAGCCGUUGUUUGAGAGCGCCAGUCUAUGAGAUCAUGUAACAGCAAGGCCUCUAAAAAAUCACUCUACAUCUGCCCAAGGUGCUGAUAUUCAGUUAGAUGAGUUUUGGCCUUGACUAGAGAGAAAUCUAAGUAAAACUGGUUAUGAUUAGGAAAAGGAAAAACGAUCUCACUGUUUUGUGUUCUAUAGGAGUUUAUAGUUCUUUCAUAUCAAUGAGUAAGAUUUUAAGCAUUUUUAUAUAUUUGCUAUAAAUAUUUCCCUAGUUUGCUGUUUACUUUUCAAUUUUAAUUCUUUUGAAUGAUUUAAAAUUUAUAUGUAGUUAAAUCAGAUGAUUUUUCCUUUUAAUUUCUUUCACUGUUUUAAGCUUAGAAUGUUUUCUUUCUAAAACUUUGGUAUUUGAUACUAUUUCUUCUAGCUUUUGAUAGAUUAAUUUUUUAAACCAACUGUACUUUUUUUAUUCACUUGGAAUUUAUGUGGGUCCAUGGUACAAGAUAAUGACUAAACUGGCUUCUUUUCCUAAUGAGUAAUAGCAUUAUUUGUUGAUUCAGUAUUCCUCUUCUCUGCUGACUUGUGAUUUCUCUUCCGUCAUAUAUCAUAUAUUCGUAUGAUUUAUUUCUGAGCCAUCUAUUCUGUUCCAUUGGCUUGUCAGUCUAUUCUUGUGCUAUAAUCAUGCCUGUUUUAAUUAGUAUUAGUAAUUGGCAUGCAUUAGUAUUCAGUAGAGCUGUUCUUCUAACAAGGAAUGAGGAUUCUUUUGUACCAGAAGUUAGCAGGUAAGCUUCUUAAUUAUAAUUUUAUUAUCAACUUACGAAACGGUAUCAUAUAAAUCUAUUGUAUUUAAAUAUAUAUGUAGGCUCAAAAAGUAUAAUAAAAGCCUAUCCGCUCAGCUUUAGACUAACUUUCUUGUAUAUUUGAAGAGCUGUUUUUCUGUUUAUUUCAAAACAUCUCAAAGAGAUAUUCAAUACACACUAUAUGUCCAUGCCAUGAGACCUGGUUUUAGAGAACUUACUCUGUUCUAAAAACAAUCUCCCAUUAACCCUGGGCACAAAACAAGGUGGAGAAGGAUAAAAAUGGGAAAAGCUGCCGUUUUAUACUCCAGUAUUAAUAAAUCAAUUAUGGACACUCUGGAGCGGUAGGAUUAUGCCUCUUUCUUGCCCCCUCCUCGCCUCUUUUUCCUUUUAAAAAUACUUUUUAAUUUAAUUAUGAAUA
This is a long non-coding RNA of Equus caballus (horse), 2497 nucleotides long. The record is from Ensembl. Lineage: Eukaryota; Metazoa; Chordata; Mammalia; Perissodactyla; Equidae.